RNAcentral lists this ribosomal RNA (859 nucleotides) under uncultured bacterium. RNAcentral describes it as "bacterial SSU rRNA". It matches the Rfam family "Bacterial small subunit ribosomal RNA", at positions 1 to 862 of the family's 1533-position model. The record is from RNAcentral.
CCUUUAGAGUUUGAUCCCUGGCUCAGGACGAACGCUGCGGCCGUGCCUAUUACAUGCAAGUCGAGCGGAGAUUGCUUUGGAAGGAUUUAUCUGGAAAAGCAAUUUUAGCGGCGGACGGGUGAGUAACGCGUGAGCAAUCUGGCCUUUACAGGGGGAUAACACAGGGAAACUUGUACUAAUACCGCAUAUUAUUAUUUAAUCGCAUGAUUGAGUGAUGAAAGUGGAAACACGGUAAAGGGGGAGCUCGCGUUCUAUUAGAUAGUUGGUGGGGUAACGGCCUACCAAGUCAACGAUAGAUAGCCGACCUGAGAGGGUGAUCGGCCACACUGGAACUGAGACACGGUCCAGACUUCUACGGAAGGCAGCAGUAGGGAAUAUUGGGCAAUGGGCGAAAGCCUGACCCAGCAACGCCGCGUGAGGGAAGAAGGUUCUCGGAUUGUAAACCUCUAUCCUUGGUGAAGAUAAUGACGGUAGCCAAGAAGGAAGCCCCGGCUAACUACGUGCCAGCAGCCGCGGUAAUACGUAGGGGGCAAGCGUUGUCCGGAAUGAUUGGGCGUAAAGGGCUCGUAGGCGGCUAAUCAAGUCUGGAGUGAAAGUCCUGCUUUUAAGGUGGGAAUUGCUUUGGAAACUGAAUAGCUUGAGUGUAGGAGAGGUUAGUGGAAUUCCCAGUGUAGCGGUGAAAUGCGUAGAGAUUGGGAGGAACACCAGUGGCGAAGGCGACUAACUGGACUAUAACUGACGCUGAGGAGCGAAAGUGUGGGUAGCAAACAGGAUUAGAUACCCUGGUAGUCCACACUGUAAACGAUGAAUGCUAGGUGUAGGUGGUAUCGACCCCAUCUGUGCCGCAGUAAACACAAUA